UCCCGCCUUGGCCUCCUAAAGUGCUGGGAUCACAGGCAUGAGCCACUGUGCCUGGCCUGAUUUAAUUCUUCUUCUUCACCUGAUCCAGUUUUCUCCAUGAAGACUUGAGACCAAGUCACAGUAGGUUUGGACCCAAAUGUAUGCUGCUCCUCUCUCCCCAUGUUCUUUGCUUCUGUUCUUAGCCUGGGGUAAAGUCCUCCUUGUCCUGGGCCAGACAUACUGUCAAGAGAAAGCUUGGUAUUGGACUGACUCCAUUUAAAGAACCUUAUUUUAUGAAUCUGUCCCAGGAAAAUAUAGUAACUCGUUAACAGUUUUGAAUGAUUUGUUCUUUGCUUUUUGGCAAAUUUCAGUUUAUCCUUGCUAGAGGGAAAACAAUAAAAUCCACAAGUAAUUCCCAAUUUUCAACCUAGCCCAGCAAUUUAACCUCCUCACUCACUUUGCCAAGGCUACUAAUAAGUAGCUGUGUGCCUGGCCUGCUUUCCUUCUCUCCUCUCCCUGGUCCUGCCCAUUGGCAGGGAGCCUCUUGUGAGUCAUAAGAUGACCAAGAGAUCACACGGCGAGAGACUGAAAGAAAAGCAGCAAAGCCCUGGGUAAUCAAGGCCCUAAACGGAAAGUGUCAGGAUCUUGGGGAUCGUAUUGUAUAAAAUGGAUGAAAACAGAGCUAUUGGGUUUGAAGCACUCCUGAACCCUCUCAUGGAACCCUAUGUCUUCCUGGAGUCUACAGAGCUAUUGGGUUUGAAGCACUCCUGAACCGUCUAGUAGAACCCUAUGUCUUCCUGGAGUCUACAGAGCUAUUGGGUUUGAAGCACUCCUGAACCGUCUAGUAGAACCCUAUGUCUUCCUGGAGUUUACAGAAAAAGAGACUCAGGGAUUUUCCCAAAGCACACUGCAAGUUAGGGGCAGGAAUGACAGCCCAGACCUUCUGGUUUCCAGUCCAGGGCUCAACUGCCUAAACAGUGGCAUCUCUUCAGGCAGGCCCUGUCAGAGGCAGAUUAGGGGACUUGUCCAAAGUUACUCAACUAUGAAGAGUCAAGAUUCAAAUCCAGAGACAUCUGACUUCAUUUCCCUUCAUUAACAACCAUCUAAGGAAGUUCCUAUUACUUUGGGAACUCCUAGUAGCAGGUGGUUAAAAAAAACUCCUGGACAACAUACUAUGCUAUUUGAAUCAUCCUACUUCUUACGCGUUCCUCCAGGAUGCACUCUUCUCCCAUUCUGAAACUGACAGUUCUCUUUACAAACUGUGUAUGUUUCAUUCCUGGAUUGCAUCUGAGCUGCCGCCAUGGAACGGGCAUUGAGUUUUAGCGUGUGUGAUGUCCCAUGUGUUCAUUUUGUCUCCCCACACUAUAAACUUGAGAGGCAAGGCCAACUCUUUUAUGUCUUCAAAUGCUUUGCUGCCAAACACAGGAUUGGAAAUGGCCAACAAAGACUAAAAUGCUACUUCUCUACCCUUUUCACUAUGCCAUCUACUGGAAAUUUAAGCAAGACUUGCAGAGAUCACUUCAGGUUAUCUGUUCCCCUGCAAGAAACACUUGUGGUUUGGCCUGAAAUAGUUUUCUGCUGAUUCUUUCUCUACAGCCCUGAACCCUAAAAACAAAUGAAAUGCAUCAACACAAUA
This 1615-nucleotide long non-coding RNA is filed under the name Homo sapiens (human). Its description in RNAcentral is "HSALNT0300373". The record is from RNAcentral. Lineage: Eukaryota; Metazoa; Chordata; Mammalia; Primates; Hominidae.